CAGGAUCAUAUUGCUCCAAGUGGUUAUAUCAAGAUCCCUACCGAAAUGUCAAAGUAUUUGGAACACUCCAAGUAUCUGCCAAAGCUCAACAACGAGAGACCUAACAAGAGGAACCCCAUUUU
Molecule: long non-coding RNA, 122 nt
Organism: Capsella rubella
Lineage: Eukaryota; Viridiplantae; Streptophyta; Magnoliopsida; Brassicales; Brassicaceae
Exons: 2
Source: RefSeq, a predicted model, not a curated record